GUAGUCCUUCAGCAUUAAGGUCACUUCACUAGACUAGCAAAGAAUCAGGUUUAGUUAUACUGAGUCAAAUCUUAAAUUACAUAUCCGUAACACAAUUAAGCGUAAAUCUCCAUUUGAUUCCACAAUUAUGAGGAUAUAAUGGCCUGAUUUACGUGAAAGUUUAACGGAGAAAAAAACCAAAGAUGUAAAAAGGUGAAAUAGCAGUCAUUCACUACAACUUGUUCAAAUGCCUUGUUGACAGAAUAUCUUUUUAGCUGUCUGUUACAUUUCAGUAUUUCAGUUACAUUUCAGAUGUUAGCAACAGCAUUGCAAAGGAUAUGGAUUCAACAAAAACACAUUGUUCUUUUAAUUUAGAACCCGAUAGCUGUCCUGGGGGAUACGUUUUGUUUAAGCCGAGGGAGGAGUACAAUCCAACCCGUUAGGUUCCAUACGAUUACAGAUAGCUGCCUUUCGGUUUCGGUACGGUUCUUGGAACAUAGAAGGGAAUGAUCAUAUCAUAAUGUCAUCUGUAUUAUUCCAUCGUUUUGUUGUUCUUUCAUCGGCUUCCAUUUUGGAUUCUACUUUCGUCAGCUUCCAUUUUGGAUUCUACUUUUGUCAGCUUCCAUUUCUGCCAAUUUGAAAUUUAGGGAUUGGCGUGUCAAAUCAAAUCAGCCUUAAAUGCAUUUCUUAUUCAUACGCAGCAAGCAGCACUGACUGAAAGCUUCCUAUGCUCUGAGGGGCAGAUUGUACUAUAUUUUGUUGUUCGCUAAAGAGAAUAUGUAGUCUUGAUUUAGUUUUUAUGUUCAUGAGUAAAUGAGUCCUUACAACUGGAAUGAUAAUGGUAAUAAUAAUAGUAAUAGUAUUGAUGAUGAUUAUAAUAAUUACAAUAAUAAUAUGUUUACCAUAAUGGUUUCUGGGGGACAUUCUCUACUGUGUUUGUCCUUCAUUUUUAUGUCAUUUUGUUAAUGAAAUACUUGUUUUCCCACCACCUUUCUAAUACCAAUAGGGACGUCUCUGGUUCGCAAACAAAAUGAUUGCCAAAACAACAGCGCAGUGAAAAGUUAUGGGCUUGACUUAAACAAGUUGGCGUAUAUCAGACACACAUUCAAUUAACAUGCUAAAAACAAGAGGGCAGGAGAGAAAAUGAAGUGAUAAGUAAUAAAUAAAUACACAGAGAUGAAAUGCAAAGAGAGUCAGAAAACCUGACAAUUGUCCUUGACCACAGGGAACUUACAACCUAGAAAAGAGGGUCGUACUUACGUAUGAAUACUUGAGUAAAGAAUGCAUGGUAAAAAAAAAAAGAAUUUGUAUUAUUCUGUGUUUUAAUAGCAUUGUAUUGUUUAUGACACUAGACACUGUAUGUUGAAAUGUUGUAUUAAAAAAAAAGUGUUUCCAACCAAUUUAUUACUGUGACUUUCAUCUCUUGUUGGUUGUUUGCUCUUCUACCGUCAUUAAUGUUUCAUCCUUGACAGACAGACACUCUUCUUUGAACACCUGGUCAGUUCUAGGCUCACAACACACAUGUAUCUUAACUGCAUGCGUUUGAUACUCAGAACUAUCAGUCCAACCUUUAAUAACCAAUACCCAUAUUGAACCCAAGACACUGUAAGACGCAG
This 1595-nucleotide long non-coding RNA is filed under the name Salmo salar (Atlantic salmon). RNAcentral describes it as "lncRNA (ENSSSAG00000104734.1)". Lineage: Eukaryota; Metazoa; Chordata; Actinopteri; Salmoniformes; Salmonidae. The record is from RNAcentral.